Molecule: long non-coding RNA, 3239 nt
Organism: Hevea brasiliensis (rubber tree)
Lineage: Eukaryota; Viridiplantae; Streptophyta; Magnoliopsida; Malpighiales; Euphorbiaceae
Exons: 2
Source: RefSeq, a predicted model, not a curated record
CACAAAGAUGCAGCCAAUUGAUCACGUCCGGCUUGCAAAAAAAAAAAUGUAAAGAGCCUAGGCCCAUGUUAUUUGGAAAUAGCCUGGUCAUUCUUCAAACCGUAAUAAAGGACAACACAAAAAAAGGGGAUAUUUUCAUCAAGUGAGGGAUCUUCUUUUGCCGAUUACACUCAAACCUAGCCGCGUAACAUUGAAUCAUCGGCCAACUAGAGACACAACCACUUACUGACGAUUCAAUGAAAAUUCAAGGAACCUGGGAGAACAUCUUCCAACAAUUUCAGAGUUUUUCUUCGUUUCCUCAUUUAUUUUGAUUUCAAUAUUUAGUUUUCAUUGUUAUGAUGAGUUCCUUAUGUUGUGAAUCAGAUAAAUUAGUUCUUGAAUCUUUGAUAAUGUUGAACUAAACUUAUUUCUAGGAUAACUAAUGUAGCUUGGUUUUAAUUUUAAUUUCAGAGAUUUUGUUAGGGAUAUGGUGUAUUCUAGAUGAAGUAAGAAAGUUCUGGAAGGAUUGCAAUUGGUUGGCUAACUCAACCCAGUUUUGUUGGUGCAACUCUCGUGUGCAUGUGAUGCAGUGGCUAAGAGAAUUAUAUAUGGGGCAGAAAGGGUAGAGUCGGGGAUAUGAGAGAAAGUUAUUGUAAUUUCCAGCUAGAACACUAGCUUGGGGGUAGAACCAUUUUCUAGAUGAAGUAAAAAGUUCUGGAAGGAUUGCAAUUAGUUGGCCAGCUCAACUCAAUUUUGUUGAGCAAUUCUCGGAUGCAUGUGAUGCAGCAGCUAAGAGAAUUAUAUAUGGGAGAGAAAGGGUAGAGUGGGGGACAUGAGAGAAAAUUAUUAUAAUUUCCACCUAGAAUACUAGUUUGGGGCAGAAAUCUUGGUGUUGGGGGCUUGGUCUUUUAUUUCGGCAUUGGUGCUAGGCCAAGCAUUCUCUCUAAGAGUGUUCGGAAGUUUUUUUUUUUUUUUUUUUUUUUUUUUUUCUUACUCUAUUUGAUUGAGAAUUAGAGAGGAGAGUGAGAGAAUUGCUGAUGUAAUUCCAUUACUAUAAUCUUAAGUUCUUAAUACUAGAUUCUCUUCUUUGCAUUCGCUUAAUUUCCUUACUCUAUCAAAUGGUUCGACCUUGCUAGUUUGCUCUAUUCCCUGUGAAUGCCAACGAUGAGAAUGGAUUUCUGCAGCGAUACGAUAGAGAGGGACAUGGAGACUUUUCACAAAAAUCUAGCUAUCUACCGUAAUGAGUUGGAUUAAAAAUUUAAUAGAAUCGAAGAUUUACUUAUUGAGUUGAUAUGGAAGGAGGCAGCAGCUGGGAAUGAUGAAACUCUCAUACAAUAUCUUCAUCAACAGUUGACUGCUGAUGGGAAUGCAACCAAUAGCAUGAGGCCUUUAGCUCUAAUAUUGGAAGAAGAUCUGUUGCAUCCACAAACGAUCGCUAUGCCCAAAUUCUAUAAUGAAAACCCAAAAAGAUUGGAUUGUCCAGGCUGAGCAAUACUUUCAAAAUCAAUAAAGCUGAUAGGAGGUUAAAAUUUAUUUUGUUUGGAAUAGCAUGGAGGGAGCCCCUCUCCAAUAGUUUCGUGAGUAUCGACAACAAUUCCCUUAUCCCUCUUAGGAGCUUUUUAAAUUAGAAUUCCUACAGCAAUUUGUUGAAGAUAAAGAUGACACUCCAUAUGGCAAUCUUACGGAUGUUCCUUAUAUGGGUUUUGAAAUAGAAUGGGUCGAAAGUUCCCUCUCUGAAGCAGCGAAGAAACUGGAAUUCUCACCUUCUCGCUGUGACAUUCCACGAUGGGAUCGCAUGAGGACGAAAAGAAACAGCUGACAUUGCAUUACAAUUGCUCGAGGAUUUUAAUCAGAGGGAAGAACUAAAAUCUUCAGGAUAGGACGAAGGCAACAAACUCUUUUUUUCUUUUUUUUUUUUUUUUCUGUUUGGAAAAUCAUUGAGGACGAUGAAAGGUGGUGGCAAACUUGGAUUAAGCCUUAAUGUCAUUGGUUUGAGGCUAGUGGGUUUCAAUGGCGCAAGUCUGAUAGUUGGCCCAAUGCCCACCAGCCCGACCCACUUAGUUAGGCCACCUCCAAAACCUCCUCAUCCAAGCCACUUAACAAUUCCAAUACCUUCCUUUGCUUAGACCUUCGCCACCAUCUACAACACUAAUUUUCCACUUUCUUCGAUUGUAUUCCACAUUUCUUCUACCAAACAAGUCAUCACAAGCCAACAAUAAAAACGCAGUACUGCCAACAAACUGGAGGCAAUGUGGUGGCCAACAAGAAUCAUCUCUGCUCAUUCCCCAAAUGAAGCUAUGGAUAUUUUUAAAUGGGAUGCGUUUAAUUGACAAUGUAUCUAGAUUUCUCUUGUGGGUUGUUGAAAAUUUUAUUAAGGUACAAACAGUCUUUGUCCAAUUCAGCUUAUAGUAUUGCAAUUAACAGGGUUGUGGUUUUCUUUCCAAUUCAGCUUAUAGUAUUGCAAUUAACAGGGUUGUGGUUUUCUUUUUCUAGGAUGAUUAUGUAUUACAUGAAAGAAUAAUGUGGCUUUAUGGUUCUAUUACAUUUGCUGAAGCUUUUGAAACUAAGAUGCAAGGACCGAAGUUUCUGAAUGUUGUAUGUGUGAGUAUAUGUUGCUGAUUUUUGUGGGGUCAAUAAAUCGGCAUGAAGAUAGCUGUAUUGGUUUUGAAUCUGCAAAUCUAUCCAGGAACUUGGAUGAAGCACUCUUCCCUAUAUUUUUUUUGUGUUAGCUUCACAUCACCACAAGUUUUGGGGUUUUACUCAGUUCUUAUACCAAAAAUUGCUUGAAUUGUUUUGGUGGUGUCUCCCAUACAGCCUUGAGGACAAGGCUAUUUUGAGCGGGUACUAUUGUUAGGGAUAUGGUGUAUUCUAGAUGAAGCAAGAAAGUUCUGGAAGGAUUGCAGUUGGUUGGCCAGCUUAGCUCAACUCCUUUGGAGCAAUUCUCGGGUGCAUGUGAUGCAACAGCUACGAGAAUUAUAUAUGGGAGAGAAAAGGUAGAAUGGGGGCAUGAGAGAGUAAUUGUAUUUUCCAACUAUAAUACUAACUUGGGGGCAAAAUUCUUAAUGGCGGGAGGGCUUAGCUCUUUUAUUUUGGCAUUAUUGCUGGGCCAAGCAUUCUCUCUAGAGUGUUUGGAAGGUUUUUUCCCCCUUUUCUUGCUAUAUUUGCAUUGAGAAUUAGACAGGAGAGUAAGAGAAUUGCUCGUGUACUUCCAUUACUGUAAUCUCAAGUUCUUAAUACAAUUUUAGAUUAUUUUCUUUCCA